Molecule: long non-coding RNA, 1048 nt
Organism: Gossypium raimondii (Peruvian cotton)
Lineage: Eukaryota; Viridiplantae; Streptophyta; Magnoliopsida; Malvales; Malvaceae
Exons: 4
Source: RefSeq, a predicted model, not a curated record
CUGAUUUGGGAUGCAUGGCACAAGUUAUUUUUUCCUUUUGGUUCAACUCCAAUUUGUAUGCAUCCAACCAAAAUCCAUUUAUUUCUCAGUGCCGAAAGAUUAAACCAAAAUUUUAUCCAUUAUUCAGGUUACUAACAUCACAUUUAAGGGCUUCCAUCUAAACCCAGCCAAAAAGCUACCUUGAACAGAGACUAAAACUUCAAGCACAGUAGUUCCAAUACAAAUAAAGGGUAAAAAAUAAUUAUAGUCAUUAAGGGAACUAUUGAAGAACUUUUGAAGUGCAAAGAGAUGUAAAUAACACUGAUCCAAUGCAAGUGAUGAAGAAUGGUGUUGAAGUUCUAGUUUUGGCAAACCUUCAGUGACAUUGAUAAAUUGAUUGGAUCAAAUAAGGAGGUGUGUGUUACUUCAUUUUCAUCAAUAAAUGAACCAUUCCUGGUGCCGUGUCAUAUGAGACCACUAUGGGAAUUGGAUAAUGGAUUGCAAGAGGAACUUGGGGUCUGGUGGGUAAGACCCGCGGAGCUGUGGGGAUGGCCAACAGCUUGCUUGGAACCUGGGGUAUAGGAAUGUGAUAAUGAGGAAGUUGUUAACAUCCUUAAUGGUGUUAAUGCUAAUGAAAGUGGCUCAGCACUGAUUCGUACCAUCUUCAAAUUAUUGAAGAACACUUGAGAGAUUAGCUUGGUGCAGAUUUGCAGAGUCACAUGGCCAAGAUGCAAACUGCAGAGGAGCUGAAAUUCUAUAUUUUUCACUACCCUCCGUUUUAUCGUUGUAGAAUAAGGAUGUGGUCUGAGCCUUUUAUUUACCAAAAAGAAUCCAUUGGUUUGCAGGGGCCAACAGUGUAGUAUAUAUAAUAUGAGAAGAAAGGCCUUGGAAUGAGCACAAAAUAAUUGUAAUGUCAUUUUUAGAAGUCUAAGUGAAAAAUAGGCUUUGAUAAGUUUUAUGGCUCACCUUGAAGAUUUAUACCUUUAUUAUUUGGUUAACAACUAAAGAAAUACAUUUGUAGCCUCUAUGUUUUUUCAACACAUAAAUAGGAAUAUAAUGCGCUUGAACG